ACCGGGAUUCCUGGAAGAGACGGGGAUUUGGGGGAAACGGAGAGGGUUCUGCGAGGAGACGGGACCAGUGAGACAGGGGCUAUUCUGGGCCUGUCCGAGUUGGGAAUUCCCCAGAGACCUGGAACUUGCUCUCCACAGCCACAGCCUUGGCCCCGCCCUGUAUCUGUGCUGCCGCCAGUAAGGCUGCCCCUGGGGAGGGCGGAGCCAGAACCUCACAGCCUCACAGGGCAGAGCAAGGCUGGAUUGACGGACACCAGGCCGAGAAGAAACCCUUGGGGUUGGCGGCAGUUCUUAGUGAGGGCAAUUCAUUCAAUCCAGAGCCAGAAACAGGAUUUUAUUUAAAAUUUAUUGUAAUGGGGUCCGCGCAAAAGGAAGGGGUGGAGGGUGGGGUACAUGCAGGGGACACAGGAACACGAUGACAUGGCCAGGGCCACAACUUCUUCUGUCGUGGGGAAGAGGGAUGAAAAGACAAGACCAGGGCUGGAGCUGGGGUGGAAGAGGGGAGGGGGACACUGGCUGCAUUCCCCCGCCCCCAGGAAGCACCUCUAGGCCCUGGACCCCUCGCUCACCCUGGCCCCUAAGACUCCAUCUCUUCUCUGCCUCUGGCCCUCCUGGCUCUUCCUCCUGCUCCCCUUGACUUUUUCCCCUGACAGAUUCUCAAGUAGGACGAUGUUCAGGGCCUGACCCCAACCCCCCAUACCACCUUAUGAAGGUACAACCUUUGCCGGCCCUGCUUCUGCCCCUCCUCAAACCUCACCGCUUUCCCUCUUUGGGACAGCUCUGAUCCCCCUCCUUCCUCUCCUCCCUCCCCCUGGAAAAAAAAAAAAAAGGAAAAGAAAGCACCAACUCCCCGGGGAGGGGCUGCAGACAGCAGGGGGAGAGGACUGGAAGGAGAGAAGAGGACCGUCGAGGGAAGAGGCUCACAAGUCCCUGGGAAGACAGGGCAUGGGCUUACAGAGAGGAGAGGGGGUACGGGCAGUGGCUGCUCGUGUCCUCUGCCACCCCUGCCCACUGUCCAGGGGACUUCAACACAACCGAGGGGACAGGUUUGUGUGGGGUCAGGUCUGACAGAAGAGGAGCAGGAGAAACAAAUCGUUAAAACCUAGCGAAUUCCCCUAAGAAAACAUUUCUUCCUCCUUUCCUUCUGGAGGCUCCUUGGUUGGUAGGGAAAUAGGAGUUGGUGGGAAAAGAGGGGGGAGAGGAGCUUGUACCAAGGGACUCUACUCCAUUCUCCCCUCUCCCCCGCAACCAACUUGGAGCUCACCAGGGUUGGGAGGGAAGUGGCUGAGAGCUCACAGGCACCCCCUCCGCCCCCGAGAGGGAGCCCACAGCUGUGGGAGGGGCUGCUACUGCUGCCGCUGCUGCCGCUGCCGCCGCUGCCGCUGCCGCCGCCAUUGGACAAACCUCACCAGUACCUGCACAGGAGAAACACCACGGAUCACAGCGCGAUCUGAAUGGCAAGAGCCUUGCCCUCACCCCACACCUUCCCAGCCUGCUUCCCCUGGGACACAGCCGUUGCUCACUUCCUAUCUGGACCCCAGAGGCCUCAGCCUGCAUCCUCACCCAGACAGAGCAGUUCUCAAGGAUCCUCCCUGUGCCCAGAAGUCUCCCUAGCCUGAGUGGUACAUGGGCAUCCCUCGCCUUCCUGAGAUCCCCUAUUGGGCCCUUUGAGCCCCGUUGUCCCCCACACCCCCCAUCCCGCCCCCCAGCCAUGCCCCACGCCUUGCCUGGUGGGUGCGGGGGUCCCCCUCAGCAGGUGGGCUGUGGCUGGGGGGCGUCUCCCGGGACAGGGGGGGCGGCCCCCCCCAGAUGGGUCUGCAUGUGGCCGGCCAGCUGGGCAGGGGUCUUGCAGUGCACGCUGCACAGCUUGCACAGGAUGCGGUCAGCCCGCGGGGCCUGGAGCCCGUGGUCCUUCACCGCGUGGAUGCGCAGGUGCGUGCUGGUAAAGCCCGGCCCGUGUACUCCACCUGCCCCAGGAGCUGGAGACAAGACCUUGUGGCUGCGCAGCGGAAACCUUGCCUUGUGACCCCUGGAACUGGCUUUCUUGACUACUCCUUCCCCAGAGCAGCCAAGUUCCACUCCCGCUUUCCCCACACAUUACCAGGAGGUUCAACCUCUCUGGCAGAUCAUCUCUUCCAACCAGGACUUCUUAGAGUCUAAUGAUGUUCAUUCAGGUGUCCCCCCGCUGCUCCCUUGACCUCUUGUAGGAAUCUAGACGCCACGAGCUCUUGGCUACAGCACCCUUAACCCGUAUCCGUGGCAAGGCGUCUGGCCAGGCGCCCACCCUCUGCCCCUGGCCCUCCCGGCAGCCCUCGGCAUGUACCUUUGUUGCAGAGCUCACAGACAUGGUGAGGACCCUGGCUGUGCACCUUCAUGUGGUCCGAAAUAUAAGCCGAGCUCAGCAUCUUGCCACACACGUGACAUGGCACUUUCUCCUCGUGUCGUACUGUGUGCGCCCGCAGCCGAUCCUUCGUGGCGAAAGCUGCCUCACAUUUCUGAGGAGGGGGGAGGGGCGUGGGGGGUGUCACAGGAGAGUUAAAGCUUGGUGGGCUGGGGAGGGGGGAGCAAGAGAUUAAAGGAAUCAGAGCCUUGGGGAUCUUUGAUCUGUAGGAAAUGGGAGUGACAUGAUGAGGCCUUGAAGAAGGGAUGAGAAAAUGGAGCAAAAAGGCAAAAAGAAGAGAGAGAAAAAGGGGGUCUGAGAGACUGACUCAGACAGCUACCAUGAGGAUCAAAAUCAUGAAAACCAAGACAGGAGGAGGCGGGCUUCCU
Molecule: long non-coding RNA, 2769 nt
Filed under: Homo sapiens (human)
Lineage: Eukaryota; Metazoa; Chordata; Mammalia; Primates; Hominidae
Description: HSALNT0385250
Source: RNAcentral